CACGUCUUAUAGUAAUGUGAAUUCACACUCACAUAUAAGAGAAAACAAACGACACAACGGAAACACAACGUUAAAAUGUUACACACACAGAAACGAACUAUAAUAUAACAAUGGCCAUUUUCCUGACUUGGUACAGGACAUUUUAAAAGAUAAAAAUGGUGGGUUGAACCUGGUUUUGUGGCAUGCCAAACCUCGCACUUUAAUGGCAAUGUUAAAUAUAACAUUGAAAUGACAACAUAAUAUUACAGGACUACAAUACAAAUAAAUAGGAGAACGUAUUAGACAAAGAAACACAUGAUUAAUAGAUAACAAAAGGCAUCAGGUUUAAAAUUCAAUACGCCAAAAACGCGCCUCGUCCACACAAGACUCACCAGUGAC
Molecule: long non-coding RNA, 378 nt
Filed under: Mytilus galloprovincialis (Mediterranean mussel)
Lineage: Eukaryota; Metazoa; Mollusca; Bivalvia; Mytilida; Mytilidae
Source: RNAcentral